CAAUUGUUUGUGACCCCAAGAUGCAGGAACCAGGAGUGCGAGGAGGAGAGUCUGGACAUCCGUUGGGUGAGGUGGUGUGGCUGUGAGCUGAGGGCUGACCAUCGCACCCUUCACCUGUAUCUUGACCCGAUAGUACCAGAGGCUCCAUUGUGAGUCCGCUCGAGGCUCCUGGAGGAGGUACAUUGCUUUGGAUGGAGCUCAUAACGGUGCGCAGCUCAGACAAAAAGGCAGGAUGGAUUUGAGACAGUUUCCUCCUGGAGUCUUGCAGUUGUUUCUUGCCCGAUCCAGUGCACUCAUUAGCUGGCUGGGGGGUCAAAUGCUCCCCGUCCCUCUCUGAACCAGAGGACAAAUCAUAAGGUGCUUCAGGAAGGUCAAGAUGGAUGUACUUGUCAGCUGGGAGAAAGACAACAGUGGCCAUUCACUCAAACUAUGCGAUAUAUAUAUAUAUAUAUAUAUAUAUAUAUAUAUAUAUAUAUAUAUAUAUAUA
Molecule: non-coding RNA, 487 nt
Organism: Nerophis lumbriciformis (worm pipefish)
Lineage: Eukaryota; Metazoa; Chordata; Actinopteri; Syngnathiformes; Syngnathidae
Source: RefSeq, a predicted model, not a curated record